Molecule: long non-coding RNA, 259 nt
Organism: Panthera uncia (snow leopard)
Lineage: Eukaryota; Metazoa; Chordata; Mammalia; Carnivora; Felidae
Exons: 2
Source: RefSeq, a predicted model, not a curated record
CCGCCUCAGAGUUGACUCCCAACUGAAGGGACCGUUUCCUGGAAGACAAUGACUAAGCAGAAAUCGCGGCUGAGAAAGUGCUUGGACUUUGGAUUACACUGAGUGUUAUGUGUGUGGAGCAGCCCUGCUUCAGAAAGUGCUUGAACUAGGAAGCCUGUCUGUGGACCAUACAGAGAAGACCGUCUUGGCAAGGCACCGUUUGCUCUCCUAAUCUACAAGUCUCUUAAAAUGGUUUGGAUUAAAAACGAUUAUGUUCUGA